RNAcentral lists this ribosomal RNA (381 nucleotides) under Triticum aestivum (bread wheat). RNAcentral describes it as "partial small subunit ribosomal RNA". The record is from RNAcentral. Lineage: Eukaryota; Viridiplantae; Streptophyta; Magnoliopsida; Poales; Poaceae.
AUGUCGUUCCCCCCUUGGGGGCGUCGUUCUUGGAGGUGUGCACGGGCUCAAGGGACCAGUGGACCGCAUCUUAGGUGGAGUGGUGCUUCAUCCUACACAUUGAUGGCGACGGAUCUCGACGGCGUGGCGCAGUGCAGAUUCGGCGUCCGUUGCGAGGAUGGACUCGCGCAGGAGGACGACGUUGUCUGGCGUCGUGGUGGCGUCGAUGGCAAAGAGACCUGGCAUGGUGGAUGCAACAUUACAGCUCUGAAGAUGGAUUUGUGGCAGGUGGCCGCGGCGGCCUCAUACCCGGCAGGCGUCCGGGUUGAAGAGUGCGCUGGACUGGUGGGUGCCCCAUACCCGGCAGGCGUCCUGGUUGGGACCUCAGGUCAUAGAUGUUAG